This is a non-coding RNA of Caenorhabditis elegans, 134 nucleotides long. Lineage: Eukaryota; Metazoa; Nematoda; Chromadorea; Rhabditida; Rhabditidae. The record is from Ensembl.
GAAGUGGUGUUGCGAAAUAAAGCCGGAAAAGUGGGCACGAACAAUCGAUUCCAAAAGGGAGUCUGCUUUUCGGGGGGUGAGAGGACAUGCGCAAUGAAAGAGAGAAGUAGUUCGGUGGCACGCGUGCGCGUGUC